CCCCUUUUGUAAUUCUCUGCUGCUUUUUUACUUUUUCCAGACGAUGGCUAGUCUGAAUUACCAGACGGUAGUGCAGGGGGAGGCCUCAGAAACGGACUCGGAUGAAGAGCUCGGGCCCACGGCUGCCGCAGCAGCACCUCUGGCGUGUGGUGUGAAGGUGCCUGGGGAGGCCUCGGAAACGGAGAGCGAGGAAGAGGAGCAGGAGGAGGCAGAAGAUCAGCCGGUACACGGGGACCUGCCCCCUCUAAUUGUUAUCCGAAACCCGGCUGACCAUCUCCCAUCGGCUAUGGAGGAGAAGCCGGUGUUCAGAGGGGAUCCCGAAGGCCGCUGUAGCACCCUGCUGCAGCAGAAACUGCAGGAAAGCAAUGGCCGUCUGUACUGCGAUGUCGGCGGCCUGGUCCGGCAGGUGUACCAGAACGCCGCCAAGGACAUCCGUGCCGCCACCGUCCACCUCAACAACUCACAGAAUGGCAUCAUCGGCGCGUCCCACAGCAUACGCCUCAUCCUGGAAGACCUCAAGAGCAUCUCGGAGAAGAUGGACAUCAUCACCAGCUGCAACCUGCUGCCAGACAUUCGCAUUUAGAUGACAGCUCUGCUUUGGAGGGAGAUGAGGCCAAGCAAAUGCAGUUGUGUGACCGAGAGGUCCAAGAGUGGCCAUUUGUGGUGUUUUAAACUUUAAAUGUCUACUCCUUCACAGUCAACUUGAUGGUUUGCAUAGACAUCUGUGCACAAGUAGUCGAUAAAAUCAGAUGAAGUAGGUGCAGAAAUCUCAGUUUUAGACAAGUAAAUGGACCUCAUUAAAUGGCAGAGUUCAGAGACGCUGUGGCCAAUGGAAAAGGAAAAGUGUUUGAAAGGGUCUGAGGGGACGUUGGGGUGGACUGGCAACUUAGUAACGACCUGAAGAGACGGGCAGCAUGCAGAGUGCCCUCUGAACCGGAUGAGAGAUCAUCCUUCACCUUCAGGCAGAAGGGGCAAGCCAAACACUGGAGUCCCUGGCCGUGCCAACAAAUGAGCCUCCUUUAGUGGACCCAGUAUAUCGGUGCCCUUGUGGGCAGGAGUGGGCAGUCAACUCCAUUUUAUACAUUGUGGCCCUGAGUGGUAAAGUUGCAGCAUUGGGACUGGCACUCUGAUCAUAAUGGGUAGUGCUGAAGCCUGCCCACUGUGUCCCGUUGUUGGCUCUGAGGAUUUGAUUUAUUUAUUAUUAUU
Molecule: RNA transcript, 1206 nt
Organism: Erpetoichthys calabaricus (reedfish)
Lineage: Eukaryota; Metazoa; Chordata; Cladistia; Polypteriformes; Polypteridae
Gene: bloc1s3
Gene name: biogenesis of lysosomal organelles complex-1, subunit 3
Exons: 2
Source: RefSeq, a predicted model, not a curated record